This 10541-nucleotide long non-coding RNA is filed under the name Medicago truncatula (barrel medic). RNAcentral's name for it is "long non-coding RNA (MTRU_LNC001488)". Lineage: Eukaryota; Viridiplantae; Streptophyta; Magnoliopsida; Fabales; Fabaceae. The record is from RNAcentral.
UUUACCGUUCACCAUGGACAUGGAUGAGAUUGUGAGAGUUCAUUUUUUCCAACUUAACAAAGUCAGAAGUCAUUUCUUUCAAUGAAGGAGACAUAGAAAUCGAACCUAAAGAUUGUUAUAUAACUUGAUUUGGGAGACUGCUGCAAUAGCUUGACUGAGAAGAUGAUGAAGAUGAACAUAAUGAAGUGUAUAUAACUUGAUUGUUGGGAAGAUGCUGCUGCACUUGAAACCUGAAAAAUUUAAUGGUUAUGCAUGUAAAACUCAGAGCGCACGGGGUUGCCACACUAACCUUUAGGUUCGAUUCGCCCCCACCAAUAACUGUAUAUUUGAUGCAAAAUGAAUGACUAGCGAAUACCCUUCAAGAUACUAUGAGUUCCUUGAUGUGUAUUGCACAGCCACACCAAGCGUAUUUCCUAACAGUAUUUUACAGAUUUAUGGUUUCAGCAAUUCACUCAUGCAUUAGAGAAUUGAUGGAUGAUUUAAAGUAAGAAAAUGAGUAAGAAAAUGAGGGUUAAUGUAACAAAAUUCUUGUUCUUGUUGUGUCCAAAUUAAUGCCCAAAUGUCAAACAUUUAUAGUGCAUUAUAUGACCAUUCACAUGAGUGAAAACACCCUUUUGACUUGAAUCAAUGAUAUGGUUCAUUAAGCACUCAUUUGCCAAAUGUUAUGAUCAUAUACACUUGAAUCAAUGCUAUGGUUCAUUAAGUAUCCAUUUACCAAAUGUUAUAAUGUAUAUGAAUGAUUCCCAUAAAGAGUUAUAACUUUUGGUUCUAAAGUGAUUCCAUUAUUUUAGAAAUCACCAACAAAACAUUCAAGACACAUAAUCUAGAAAGAGAAAUCAACAACUCGAAGAAUAAUAUACUCCCUCCGUCCCAAAUUGUAAGACGUUUUGGACAUUUCACACAUAUAUUAAGAAAUGCAAUUAAUAUUGUGUGGAAAAGAGAUAUUAUGAGUUGUUUUACAAAAUUGUCCUUAAUAAAUAAUAUGGGAAAAAUAAAUGAAAGAAUUGAAAUAAGAGAGAGUAAUAAAUAGUUAAGGUUAUAAGAGGAAAAGUAACGUUAAAGUUGCAUUGGUAUUGUAAAGCGACAUACAAUUUGGGACAAAUUUUUUUCCCUAAAGCGACAUACAAUUUGGGACGGAGGGAGUAUUGUCUAGUAAAUGAAAUGCAUCAAUGCUAAUCAAUAUUGAUCCUAUACAUUCAUGACUAAUCAAUGCUAAUCAAUUUACACUUAAUUUACAAUAAUGAUAUUCUAAGACUUUUAUAUAUCCCAACGGGUAUAAUAUAUACCCCAAUGGGUAUAUAGACUAAGGCCCCGUUUGGAUUGGCUUAUUUUGAGUUUAUGUGGGCUUAUCUACUUCCAUAAGCUUUUUUAAAGGUGUUUGGGUAAAUAAAUAAAAAUAGCUUAUCAUAGUUUCAUAAGCUGCUUAUGCCAUAUUUUAAUAAGCCUGAAUUUUCAGCUUACCCUCCGGCUUAACAAGGAGCUUAUGAAUUUAUGUAACCUCCUUCGAUUCUCUCUUGAUCCACUUUUUCAAAACAUAUAUAUUUAUUUUAUUUUUUAGUUUUUUUUUAUAUUUUAAUUAUAAUGUUAGUUAUCUUUGGUUGUGCAUGAGUAACAAAAUUGCUAUAUACUUAUCUUACUAAAGUAACACACGUAACUAAGAUUUUUUUUUUUUAAGGAUGAUUUUUAUUAUUUUUUUGUUACGUAACAAAAUAAAACUGAAUAAAAAAAAUAAACUUAACUUGUCUUUUUUUGAUAACAAACUGUACAUUAAUAUCUAUAUAUGGUAAGUUUACAAUCAUAAUUUCUCAAGUUUAUAUUUAUAUUAUUAUACUUUUUUUUAAAAGAAAGUUUAUCAUAUAUUAUUAUACUUGUGUAUAAUGAUGUUUAGACUAUUUAUUUACACCUCGAAUGUUAAUUUUGUCUUAUAUGAAUAUUGAUAUUUUUUUAAGGACGAAUAUUGAUUAUACUAUAUAUAUAAUUAUAAUUAAUAUAUUAUAAUAUUAUUUUUUACAUCUUGAUUAAUUUUAUCAAAAAAAAUCUUGAUAAUUGUGGUUCGAUUCUUUGAUUUUUUUGUUAAAUUAAAAAUAUUUAAAAUUUUGAGAUAAUUGCUUAUGUAAUGUCACAUCCAAACACUUCAAUUUAUGUAAGUACUUUUUAGUGUACAUAUCCAAACAUAAAUAGCUUAUCAAGUAUAAGAGCUUAUGAUGUAAGCUAUAAUGUUAUAAGCAUCUAUAUAAGCUGUUUAUCCAAACGGGGUCUAAUAAGUAUCAAAGACUAUUAAAAAACCAUAUAGUCAACAAAUUUAUAUGAAAGCUUAUUCAUUCAGAAGAUGAGCUAUGUAUUGGAUCUUCUAGUCACAUUCUUUGUCAUAUGGUCAUCACUUAAUUUCAAAUCAUUUGAAAUAAGUUUACCAUUCGGUCGAAGAAAUGUCUCUGAACGAUUAAAGUUAUAUUCCAUCCAAAGCAUCAAUUUCAAAAGCUAGGAAGAUUUUGUAGAUAAUCACAUGACAGAGUUUUCAACAAAAGAGUUAGUUUUAUUUUAUGUAAAAGAUAAUGUUAGUGAGAUUCACGUUAUAGCUCUUCAAAAUUCACGUUGAAUAUACACUCGGUAGAUAUUCCCACAUAAAAUGGAUCCUAAAGAUAGUGUUAGUGAUAAUUGUUCAUAGGAACAUUAAAUAAAGUGGUUAUAAUAUUCAUAACUUUGAAGGUAAACAUGACUAUUUAGUAAAAUAUAUGCAUUAAAGUAAAGACGGGAAUCAAACCAAGUUCAAAGAAAACUUUAAAUCUAAUCAAUAUUAAUGCAGUUUCUCUAGACAUAGUCGAACAAAAUAAACACGAAUAUAAAAGAGAUGGGGCUUAAGAAAACCAAACAAUAUUCUUAAAAAAAUUAAAAAAAAAACCAAAAUGUAACACCACAAAGAUAAUUUUAUACGCCACAGAGAGUUUAACACCUACACACGACGCCCUUUCUUGUUUUUUAUAUCUUGUCAGUCUCUGUUUGUCUUGAGUGGUGACCUGGUUAUUAAUAAAUUUAGUUGUUCAAAAAAGUGAGACUUAUUAUAUGGGGGUGCAUUUAGCAUAUGAUAAUGUGUAACUUGCAAAGCCCACAAGUGUGCUCUCUUGGCUUGCAGAAGCACAAAAUUGGUUGCCUUACUUCAAGAGCACAUAAGUGAUUAUGUAAAAUAUGGUCUUUUUGUUUAAGCAACAUGACACUAACCUAAAUCACUUUUAGUAAACCCUAUUCUUUCUGAAACCCUGAAACUAAACCCUCUUUCCUCUUUCUAAGUGUUCAUCAAAUUAGCUAGCACAAUGAGUACAUGAGUUAUGUUAGUGUAGACUGAGUAAAAACAUCGCUAUUUUUCUUUUCUAAUGGUCAUCCUUACACUUGAUAAUCGUAUAUUCUAAAUUUAGAAGUAGAAUAAAUAAUAAAUAUUUUUUACCAAUGAAUAAAUAAUAAAUAUUAAUAAUGAUAUAUUGACAUUAUUAAUUAAAGUGAAUAAUAAUUAUGUACUGACAUUGUUAUUUUUAUAUUGUUAUUGUCAAAAAGAUUUAAAGGCAGGCGAAACAUUUUUUCAAGAAAAAACAAAGUGCAAAUGACAAACUUGACAUCUAAACUAUGUUGGCUUCCCAUUAUUAUAAUCUAUAAUUUGCAGCACUCUAAAAUUAUUAUAAAUAAAUAAAUGAAAAAUGAAAAUUACAAAUAUUGAGGGGACUAGACCAAAACCUAAUAAAAGUUAACCAAGUGAUUUUAGAAUGUCCCUUGUUAACCUAUUGGGAUAAAACCCGAGUACGGGAAAAAGGUACAUAACAACUAAACAACAUAAAGGCAACAUAAACAUAAAUCAAAGUGCAUAGGAUAUGACAUGAAAAUAAAUUAUAUGUAACAUAUAAUUAUUUUACAUAUUAAUGGUUAAUAAUCCAACCACAAACAAAAUAAGUUAACGCACAACAAGUAUUGUUCAGGAAUGUUACACCCAAUUUUGUGGUUAUUUACUCGACAAUGAAUGUGACUGUUGCAUGAAACAAACACUGCAAUGUAAAAUAACAUUAAAGUAUUUUUAUUAAAAGAGUAUGAAAUAUUGUGUCUAAUAUAAAUAAGAAAAUGAGAAAAUAAUGUCGAAAAUUACUUACCGCCAUUGGUUACAUGGAGAUAUGUAUAAAGGAAGAUUAUCAGAGCAAAAAAAACUUUGAAAUGUGAGUCAUUGUUUUGAAAAAUUUUAAAGAGAUCGUUUUUGUAAAAUGAUAUGAACUUGGCGUGAUUUUGUGAUUUCAUGGAAUUGGCCUAGGAUACUUGUAUGCCUAAGAUACAAUGGAUUAACCAUUUUAUAAGUAAAAGUUUAUUGCUUGAAUUGACAUCAAUUAAAUAAAUUAAAGCUAUUGUUAAAUGGCUCUAAGGUAUAUCAGUGUGCCAAGUUUAUCCUUUAGCGCACUCAAUUAACCAGUUAAGCAUAAUAAAGAUCUCAAAUAAAAAAAAAUUAAGCCCAUAAAAAAUUUAGUAGAUUUUUUUAUUUUUUAGCCUAUCAUGAUAGAGAGGGGACAAAAUACCCAAAGAUAAAUAAUGGCAAGGUAAUUAAAAUCGGAUCGAACCAUCUGGUUUAACUAGUUGAACCGGGAACCGGACCUAUGUCUGGUCUGAAAUAAAAAGAAAACGGGUGUUGCAACGAACCGGGAAACCAGAUAAUAAAGAUUUGUUGUGCAUAAAAAUUAAAUAACAGUAAAUAAAUAUUGUUUGGAAAAGUUAUGGAGAGAGAUGAGACUAGGUCUUCCGAAUCAUUUGAUUUUCCUUAAUUGGUACACUACACCUACUUCUCAUGAAUAUUUUUUUAGUUUUAUGAUGAUUAACUAAAAUAGCCCUAAUCAAUCCCUUGACUUAGGACCCUCUUCUCAGAUUACAACCCCUAAAUCCUUAGGUGAUCUAAUAUUCUUUGAAGGUUUGAAGAAUGUUAACCUAAUAUCACAAAUACUUGAUUGAGGUGUAUUGUUUUGAAAAAUGUCAAAAAGAUUGUUUUUGUAAAAUGAUACGAACUUGGCGUGAUUUUGUGAUUUCUUGGAAUUGGCCUUGAAUACUUGUCUGCCUAAGCUACUAUGGAUUAACCAUUUUAUAAGUAAAAGUUUAUUGCUUUACCAACAUCAAUUAAAUAUAUUUUAACACUAAAGAGGUGAAAAAUUGUUUACUAUAUUAAAGUUAUUGUUAAAUGGCUCUAAGGUAUAUCAGUGUGCCAAGUUUAUCCUUUGGCGCACUCAAUUAACCAUUUAAGCAUAAUAAGGAUCUCAAAUAAAAAAUUUAAACCCGGCAAAAAUUUAGUAGAUUUUUUAUUUUUUAGCCUAUCAUGAUAGAGAGGGGACAAAAUACCCAAAUAUAAAUAAUGGCAAGGUAAUUAAAAUCGGAUCGAACCAUCUGGUUUGACUCGUUGAACUAGGAACCAGAACUAUGUCUGGUCUGAAAUACAAAGAAAACUGGUGUCGCAACGAACCGGGAAACCAGAUAAAAACUGGAUGAACCGGGAAAACCAGCGGGCUACACGGUUUGGCAGGUUGAACCGCAUUUUACAAUUUUUUUGAAAAAAAAUCUCAAACCAGAUUUGUUAUGCCAUAAGUCUGAACUAAGAAAAGUUAUGGUGGUUUUAUAGCAAGAAGACAUAAAUCUAAGUAGAAUAAAAAUAUAGAGGAGACCAUGAAAUGGAGAUCUUGGAGAAAAAACGAAAAGGAUAAUCAUAGUUGGUGGGUUGCGUUGCUGCUAUUUAGAAAUUAGGGUUAGUGUGACAUUUAUACUUAUAAUAACUGAUAGACUUUUAGAAGGUGUACUAAAACUAUUGAACUAAUACAAUUAAUGUUGUUUCCAUGAGAACAAUAUUAAUCUCAAGUAAACGAUAGCAUUAUGAAAUAGGAUGUGUAAAGUUAUUUAGUGCCUGAGACAGUAGAUUUGUUGUGCAUAAAAAUUAAAUAACAGAAAAUAAAGAUUGUUUGGAAAAGUUAUGGAGAGAGAUGAGACUAGGUCUUUCGAAUACUUUGAUUUCCCCUAAUUGAUACACUACACCUAUUUCUCAUGAAUAUUUCUCUAGUUUUACGAUGAUUAACUAAAAUAGCUCUAAUCAAUCCCUUGACUUAGGACCCUCUUCUCAGAUUACGAUCCCUAAUUCCUUAGGUGAUCUAAUAUACUUUAAAGGUUUGAAUAACGUUAACCUAAUAUCACAAAUACUUGAUUGAGGUGUAUUGUUUUGAAAAAUGUCAAAAAGAUCGUUUUUGUAAAAUGAUACGAACUUGGCGUGAUUUUGUGAUUUCUUGGAAUUGGCCUAGGAUACUUGUAUGCCUAAGCUACUAUGGAUUAACCAUUUUAUAAGUAAAAGUUUAUUUCUCUAUUGACAUCAAUUAAAUAUAUUUUAACACUAAAGAGGUGAAAAGUUGUUUAUUAAAUUAAAGUUAUUGUUAAAUGGCUCUAAGGUAUAAUAAUGUGUCAAGUUUAUCCUUUAGCGCACUCAAUUAACAAGUUAAGCAUAAUAAAGAUCUCAAAUAAAAAAAUUUAAGCCCGUCAAAAAUUUAGUAGAUUUUUUUUAUUUUUUAGCCUAUCAUGAUUGAGAGGGGACAAGAUACCCAAAUAUAAAUAAUGGCAAGGUAAUUAAAAUCGGAUCGGACCAUCUGGUUUGACUAGUUGAACCGGGAACUGGAACUAUGUCUGGUCUGAAAUACAAAGAAAAUUGGUGUCGCAACGAACCAGGAAACCAGAUGAACCGGGAAAACCGGCGGGCUACACAGUUUUGCAGGUUGAACUGCAUUUUUAAAAUUUUUUGAAAAAAUAACUCAAACCAGAUUUGUUAUGUCAUAAGUCUGAACUAAGAAAAGAUAUGGUGGUUUUAUAGCAAAAGGACAUAAAUCUAAGUAGAAUACAAAUACAGAUGAGACCCUGAAAUGGAGAUCUUGGAGAAAAAAUGAAAAGGAUAAUUGUAACGCCCUAUUUUAAUAUUUAUUUAUUUUAUUGAGUUUAGGUGUCUUUCCAUAAUUUAGUCGAUUUAUUCUGAUGGGUGAUAUUUUGUUAUGUUAUAUGUUGGUAUUUAUUAGUAUAAUAUAUAUGUUAUUUGGUGUAGAAAUAUAUAUAUAUUAUCUGGUGUAGAAAUAUAUAUGUUAUUUGGUGUAGAAAUAUAUAUAUUAUCUUGUGUAGAAAUAUAUAUGUUAUGUGGUGUAGAAAUAUUAUGUUAUUUGGUGUAGAAAUAUAUGUUAUCUGGUGUAGAAAUAUAUUUCUUAUUUGGUGUAGAAAUAUAUAUAUAUAUAUAUAUAUAUAUAUAUAUAUAUAUAUAUAUAUAUAUAUAUGAGGGCAAAUUUAGAAAUAAGAGAACAUAAGUAGGUUAAUGAUUUUUAUAAAAGGGCAGAUUUGGAAAUAAGAGAAAAUAAGUAGGUUAAUGAAAGUUAGAAUUAGAAAAUAAGGAUUACGUGAAACUGCUUUUGAGAGAAAAGCGUGAAAGUGAGAAGUCAAGAGAAGAGAAGAGUCAGAGAAGAGAAAGUGGUAGAAUCUUGUAGAGUCCGAUCAUCUAAUCUAAGGUAAGGGUGGGACUAAAUUUCUCUAAUUCUAAGUUGUAUAAUUCUGAAAUUGAGUUUAGCAUGUUGUAGGUUGUAGUUAUGGAAAUUUGGGAAUUAGGUUUGAAGUUGUAAUUGGUUGUUAAUAGAGUAGAAAAUCCGUUGAAUUUGUGUAGAAGUGAUGUUUAGAUCAUGGGUUAUUUUUAGUGCAAUCUUUUAUAUGGUUUUGAGUGCCUUAACAUGUAUAGAAAUGGUUCGACAUGUUUUUUGGAUCAAAUUUGGGCAUAGGGAAGUUAAAAUUGGGAUUUUGGGGUGAAAAGUGGGUUUUUCCCGAGUUGCUCUCUGACAGCACGUCCUGUUUCAUGUUCUUGCGUCUUUUUCACACGUUUCUGUUUUGAAUUGGCCUUUGGUGUAAACAUGAAAGUUGUAGAUAAUUGAGUUAGCUUUCCAGUGGCUUUGAUUUGACGAGAAAAUGAUUUUUGGUUCUUGAGAUAUGAUGAAAAUACUCCAAGGAGGUUUUAGUGAAAUCUUAUGAAAAUUCAGCAUAACCGUUUCUAAUUUAAUCCAAAACUUAAGGAAUAAUUCCAAACCUCAAAACUAGAAGUACUAUGAGUUCAACUAGGGUGUUUAAGAUUAUUUAAGCUAUGUUGUGAUGGAUCUAAUUUGGUUUGACGUGAAUAUCUUUGUUGGAUAAUUUGAAAUACAUAUAUUAUGUGAAUGUUGUUGUUGAAUAAUUUGAGUUACAUAUAUUUAUGUGGAAAAGGUAUGAUAUAGAAAAUAAUGUUGUUAUACCAUUCAAGUUGUUAUUAUUAAUGAUGCUAUGUUGUGAAGUUGGUGUAUGUGUUUGUCUCUACUGUAUUGAUUAUUAAAUCAUUAAGUUGCAUAUGUUGGUCAAGUUGUUAAAGUUGUAAGUUGUUGUCAAUGUAGUUAAAGUUGUAAGUUGUUAUCGAUGUCGUUGAAGUUGUUAGUUGUCGUUGCAUUAGUUGUUGAGUCCAUGCAUACUCAUUUACGUUGAGGGCAUGAUGCCAUGUGAGCUUUUGCUCUUUAAGUUGAGGGCUUGAUGCCCUGGGAGUGUAUUUAUGCUCAAUACGUUGAGGGCUUGAUGUCCUGUGAGCUUUUGCUCUUUAAGUUGAGGGCUUGAUGCCCUGAGAGUGUAUUUUUGCUCAAUAUGUUGGGGGCUUGAUGCCCUGAAUUGGUACCACAUGCAUGAUUAAGAAGUUGAAGUUGCAUAUGUUGAGUUUAAGUUGUAGAAGUCGCAUUGUCGUUGUCGUUAAGUUGUCAUUUGUCAAUGAGUUGUUAAUAAAGAACUAAGCGAAGUAUUAAUAUUUAUUAAUCGUUGUUGUUUAUGUCGUUAUGAGAUGAUGUUUAUGAUGUUGUUAUUUAUGUCGUUAUGAGAUGAUGUUUAUGAUGUGUUGUUUAUGUUGUUAUAAGAUGAUGUUUAUGAUGUGAUGAUUAUGUCGUUAUAUGAUGAUGUUUAUGAUCUGAUUAUUAUGUGCUAUAUGAUGUUGUAUAUAAUGUGAUGAAUAUGAAGUUAAUAAUGAUUAGAAGUUGGUUGAGUUAUUAAUGAAGUAUUAUAACAAGAGUUAAUGUUAUUAAUUGAUGAAGUUUAAGUUGUUAAAUGCUUUUGAUGAAUUAUAUGCUUAUUAUUAUUGAAUGUGAAAUCUCACCCCUUCUGCUUGGAAAUGUUGCCCUCACAAUUGGGUAACUUGCAGGUAAUCUAGAAUAGUUGUGGUCGUGAGUGGACUCUCUCACGUGUCAUCGUCUUAAGUGCUCUGAUACGUAACGGGAUGAGAAUUUUGUUGUUGCUCUUUGUUCCUUACGUAUUAUUUUAUGAAGUUUUAUGAACAUGUUGUUGGAAUAAUUUUAUGAGAUUUUACCUUGAGGCCUUUGUGUCAAGGUUGUUUUAAACGUUAAAAUAAUUUCCGCUACAAUAAGAUUUAAUUUGAUGAUUGAGAUAAUUAGUAAUUUUACUAUAUUCAGAUUUGAAAGAAGUGUAACAUCCAGUUUUUAGUUGUUUACUCUGAUAUAAGUGAAAUUUUUCAAGUUGGGAAAACGGGGUGUUACAAUAAUCAUAGUUGGUGGGUUGCGCUGAUGCUGCUAUAUAUUCAGAAAUUAGGGUUAGUGUGUCAUUUAUACUUAUAAUAACUGAUAGACUUUUAGCAGGUGUACUGAAACUAUUGAAGUAAUACAAUUAAGUUCUUUUCCAUGAGAACCGUGUUAAUCUCAAGUAAACAAUAGCAUUAUGAAACAGGAUGUGUAAAGUUAUAUUAGUGCCCGAGGCAGCAGGUGCAUAAAAAUUAAAGGCUAAAAUAUGGUUUUGGUCCCUCAAAUAUGCCUCGUUUUGGUUUUAGUCACUGUAAAUUUUUUUUGUUGUUUUUGGUCCCUGCAAAUAUGCCUCAUUUUGAUUUUGGUCCCUGGCUCCACUUUUGUGAUGAUUUGCACACGUGGCACAUGAUGACUGAACCCAUUUAUUAGAGAAAUAGUCCCUGCAAAAUCUUUUGAUUUUACAAGGACCAAAAACAACAAAUUUUUUUUACAGGGACUAAAACCAAAAUGAGGCAUAUUUGCAGGGACCAAAACCAUAUUUUAGCCAAAAUUAAAUAACAGAAAAUAAAGAUUGUUUGGAAAAGUAAUGGAGAGAGAUGAGACUAGGUCUUUCGAAUCAUUUGAUUUUCCCUAAUUGGUACACUGCACCUAUUUCUCAUGAAUAUUUCUCUAGUUUUACGAUGAUUAACUAAAAUAGCCCUAAUCAAUCCAUUGACUUAGGAUUCUCUUCUCAUAUUACAAUCCCUAAUUCCUUAGGUGAUCUAAUAUACUUUAUAGGUUUGAAGAACAUUAACCUAAUAUCACAAAUACUUGAUUGAGGUGUAUUGUUUUGAAAAAUGUGAAAAAGAUCGUUUUUGUAAAAUGAUACGAACUUGGCGUAAUUUUGUGAUUUCUCGGAAUUGGCCUAGGAUACUUGUAUGCCUAAGCUACUAUGGAUUAACCAUUUUAUAAGUAAAAGUUUAUUUCUUUAUUGACAUCAAUUAAAUA